GAUGAACGCUAGCGGCAGGCCUAAUACAUGCAAGUCGAACGGUAAGUCCCUGCUUGCAGGGAACACGAGUGGCGCACGGGUGCGUAACGCGUAUGCAACCUACCUUCAACUGAGGGAUAGCCCCGAGAAAUCGGGAUUAAUACCUCAUAACAAUAUAAGACGACAUCGUUUCUUAUUUAAAGCUCCGGCGGUUGAAGAUGGGCAUGCGUGACAUUAGCUAGUUGGUGAGGUAACGGCUCACCAAGGCAACGAUGUCUAGGGGUUCUGAGAGGAUUAUCCCCCACACUGGUACUGAGACACGGACCAGACUCCUACGGGAGGCAG
RNAcentral lists this ribosomal RNA (324 nucleotides) under uncultured Bacteroidota bacterium. RNAcentral describes it as "bacterial SSU rRNA". It matches the Rfam family "Bacterial small subunit ribosomal RNA", at positions 28 to 351 of the family's 1533-position model. The record is from RNAcentral. Lineage: Bacteria; Pseudomonadati; Bacteroidota.